Herpailurus yagouaroundi (jaguarundi) is the source of this 3321-nucleotide long non-coding RNA. RefSeq lists it as uncharacterized. The record is from RefSeq and is a predicted model, not a curated record. The transcript is spliced from 2 exons. NCBI's taxonomy places the organism in Eukaryota, Metazoa, Chordata, Mammalia, Carnivora, Felidae.
UGGACAGCUAGGAGGCUGCUGUAGUCAUCCAGGACAAGAGAUUACAGUAGCUUUAAACCAAAAGAGAAAGGGGACAUAAGUAGACUUGUAGCCUAAAUAAAUACGUGCUAACUGCAGGUAGGGAGUGGAAGGAGGGUGGGAGGCUGACAGAAGGGGAAGAAUCUGCCUUUUGCAACUUCGUGGUGCCAUCCGAAGAGACUUGGAACUGAAGAUACACAGGGCUGCCAGGGCAGAUACAGGGGCAGCCUCCCUCCUCCUUUGCUCCUCGGUCUCUGCCUCCGUGAAUCCCUCUCCUCUUCCUCUCUCUCCUAACCUUACUUUCCUGUGGUCCUGAGGAACCGCGUCCAUUAGCAAGAAGUGGAUUCCUAGAGCCAGAGUAUUAGGCUCCUACCACUGUUCCUUUCACGGGUCAGAGGAAACCAGCAGGGCAAUGGCUACCAAGGUUGCCAAGACAACGCACUGCCAUUUCAACGGUCUCCUAUAAAAUAAGGACGAUGAUCUCUGAGGCAUUUCCAAGUACCUCACUGGGUAAAUAUCCCUAUGAGACAGGAACACCCAACUCUGCUUGGCCACUUUAGAGAAGAAACAAGGCCUGGAAAGAUACUUUCAAAACUGAAGUCAAGACCACACGGCAGUAAGAAGUAACUGGUUUCAGGCGGGACUCAUCACCACUUUGGUUCACUGGUUUUUAUUACAUGUGACGUUUCAUUGUUGGCUCUGCACCUUUAGAGGGUCAAGGAUCCCUCUGAGACCUGAUUAAAGAAUGGGCUCACUCCCCACAAAAACGACAGACAAAUCUGCAGGCAAAUUCAAAGGAUUCGAGAAUCCCCCGCAGCUCAACCACUGACCCCAGUUUAACAAUCUGGGAUCAGCUAGAAUGUAUGUACGUCAUCUAAGGACAGGAAAAACUUGGGUGUCAUGAAUUUGAGGAUUUGGAGUUAAAUAACAACAUCAGGGAAAUACAAGGAAAGCCGGCGUUCUUUCCUUACCCUUCUCUCCCUUGAGGGCUGCAGACGUCUCAAAACUGCAAAGGUCUCUGCAAACGACACACCACACCCUCUGCAGGACUUCAAGACAGUGACAAUCUCAUCUCCGAAUUUAAAUGCCCUUAAUAUUUAAUUCUUUCCUCUACAUGGUUACAGCUUGCUUUUUUCACAUUAUCGGGAUGAUGGCUUUCGGAGGCAGCCUAUUGGAGAGCCAGAAAACCAUAAAUUCCAAUUCAAUUUCCUUGUGAAAAUCAAAGAGCUCACUCGCUUUAAGAGUUGAAAGCGUCUGAGGGGUCACUGCCUUCCUCCAGGGUGCUGGUACAGGCAGUGUUCCAGAAGGGUAAUGUAAACACUCAGUAUGAGGCAACAGGGCAUACCAAUUUGUUUUCCAAUCUAUUUUAUUUCAGUUCAGAGCUUCUUUGCAGACAGAUAGUCCACAAAAACAACCACACUUUGGUUGUACUCAGUCUUCUUCAAUCUCCAAAAGCAGUUGAGUAUGCCAAAGCGUGGCUCGUUUCCCUGCGCUGCCCGUCUGCAAUGAGGCUUUGAACUGAAAUAAAAUAGAUUGAAAAACAAAUUGGUAUGCCCUCGCUCUCCCUGCAGUUUUAUAUUAUCCUUCAAAACUAGUGUUACCACCUUCUCUUUACUGGAACCCAACAGACCCAAAUAACAGAGUAAAACUGCAACACUUUAAAUGUGCAGGUCCCACCCAAACCUAAAAUAGCAACUUAAUGCUGGGCUUAUUGUUUAACAUUGCAUUAACAUGCCCCUCUCCGUCCUGUUCCUUGCUCUGUUCCUUGCUCCAUUUGCCCGGCUGGAUUACACCUUCUAAGGACACGUGCAAUCGGGUUACUAGACGCAGUUUAAAGCAAAACCUGACACUGCCGAUCCUCUUACACGGUCUGCUUGAUUUCUCAUUGCCUCUGCAAUUUUUCACGUUCAUGACCCCAAAUACCUUCCUAUUUUUACCAAUUCAAAAAGUCUGUUACUUGCUUUAAAGCGUCCAAUGCCCUGCUUCAAGUAUGCAACAUUAUUUUGAAAACUUUCAGAGGAAACCAAAAAUCAUUUGCAAACAAACUUUGAAAUGACCACCAACUAGAAGAAACCUGUCAUUUUCUUACACUGCCUUAAGAAAACGCACAUGCCUUCAAUGGAGGAACACACUAAAAUAAUGAAAAGUACUCUGAAUAGAUAGUUGUAUAAUUUGGUUGAAAAAAACUUAAAACUCGUUUGGAGGAGUUCCUCUCUCAACAAGCACAAUGAGAAAAAAUAAGAGCUGUUCCUGUCGCCCCCAAAGAUAGAAGCAUACACACACACACCCUCAGCUUUGUUGGUAACAUAAUCCUAGACUUUUGUUAUUAUUUAGCACUUUAAAUACAUUUCCAUUUGGGGCCCAAUUUGGUUUUCUCUGAUUGGAACUCAGCAACAUGUGUAACAACAACAAAAAGGAAACAGCAAACCUGUUAUUACACUUUUUCUUAUUUAAUCCACACAACAACCCUUUUCAGGAGGUACCACUAUCGGCAUUUCACAUGCUAGACCAUCUGUAACCGGCCCACGGCACGCAGCUCUCCCAGCAGUAAAGCUGGCUUGAGGGCGGCGACUCAGAGCACAGGACUGAAUCACGGCACCACUACUCACUUCUUUCAAUCCUUCCAACACCCCACAUUCUUGCCACCUCACAAUCUCUGAUCCUACUAAAAAGUUCUUCCUUCCCAGUUCUCUCCCUUCUCCCUUCUUGCCUGGACUGGAUUCUCGUCACUCAAACAGGUUUGGUUUAAACUACCUUUCUCAAGGGCCUUGCUGGGCCAGGCCGGUAAGAGGGGUCCUCUGGGUCAGCACUGUUUUAUCACCUUUAUCACAGUUGCCACUAUUUGCCUUAGACACGAGGCGUUAGGUCCAUCUUGCUCACGGUAAUCAUAAGGCCCAGCACAGUGGGGUCUGGUACAUAGCAGGCACUCAAAUAUUUGAUCAACAAAUGGCCUGAAUUGUUUAUUUAAUACCUACCAGACUACAGGCUGUGGGCACUGGCUAGCAGCUGAUACAAAAAUAGGUAAGGUGUGGUCCUGCCCUGGAGAGCCUCCCAAGAAAAGGUAAUUAACAGACGGAAUAAUACAGACUGGUGUGAUCAGUUGAGGUUCAGAACCCAGCUCCCUCGUACAUUAACUAUGUAACCUUGGACAUUGCUCUGAAUCUCAAUUUUCUCAUCUUUACAACAGGAAUAUUAAUACUACCUUCGUCACAGUGUUGGUGAGAGAGCCGAAUGAUAUUCCAUGUAAACAGAGCACACAGUGCUUUGCAGAAAUCAUUUAAUAAAUAUGAACUAGUGACUUUA